UACGGGGGGGGCAAGCGUUGUUCGGAAUUACUGGGCGUAAAGGGCUCGUAGGCGGCCAACUAAGUCGGAUGUGAAAUCCCCAGGCUUAACCUGGGAACUGCAUCCGAUACUGGAUGGCUUGAAUCCGGGAGAGGGAUGCGGAAUUCCAGGUGUAGCGGUGAAAUGCGUAGAUAUCUGGAGGAACACCGGUGGCGAAGGCGGCAUCCUGGGCCGGCAUUGACGCUGAGGAGCGAAAGCCAGGGGAGCAAACGGG
This 253-nucleotide ribosomal RNA is filed under the name uncultured bacterium. RNAcentral describes it as "partial 16S ribosomal RNA". It matches the Rfam family "Bacterial small subunit ribosomal RNA", at positions 524 to 776 of the family's 1533-position model. The record is from RNAcentral.